This is a non-coding RNA of Podarcis lilfordi (Lilford's wall lizard), 1252 nucleotides long. NCBI's taxonomy places the organism in Eukaryota, Metazoa, Chordata, Lepidosauria, Squamata, Lacertidae. The record is from the annotation of a GenBank genome assembly.
GCAGAGAAGACGCAAAAGCCACAUGACCUUCUCCCACAAUACUCCUCCUUCGUCAUUCCCUCUCUUCCCCAUUUUCUGGAAACAGUGAGGCUCCGGAAGCUCUGAGAUUCAGCCAUGAAGAUCACCCUCCUUCUGUCUUUUGUUAUCUUCCUUCUAUUGCCAGGUAAGAUGUUUGGGGACCACCCGUCUUCAGCCUACAGGUGGGAGAGGAAGAAACAUCAGCCCUGUGGGGUGGGGGGAAUUCUUGGCUGUUUUGAUUGCAUAGUCUGUGUUGGAAAGGAGCCGCAAGAGUCAUCUAAGUAUAGCCCACAUCAAUACUGAAGCCACAGCUAAAGAAUCUGACAGAUGGCCACCCAACCUCAGUUUAGAAACCUUCCCUGAAGGGGAGUCCACCACAUUCUGAGGGAGUCGGUUCCACUGCAGAACAGCUCUUACCAUCAGAAAGUUCUUCCUAAUGCUCAGCCAGAAUUUCCUUUCUUGUAACUUGAAGCCGUUGGUUGGAGUCCUACCACCCAGGGCAGGAGAAAGCAAGCUUGCUCCAUUUCCCAUGAGACAGCCCUUUAGAGAUUUGGACAGCAUAUUGCUUCUCAGACUUAUCUUCUCCAGGCUAAACAUACCCAACUCCCUCAACCCUUCCUCAUAAGGCCUGGUUUCCAGGCUGAACUAGAUGGACUAGAUGAGCCUUGGGGCUCCCCUUUCACCUCUACUGCUCUAUGAUUCCAUGACAAUAUGGGAAGAGUGUUUCAGCUUGGGAAGGCCUGCCCUUAAUCACAAUGUUCCUCUUGUUUUUUUAAACACCCCCAGGUCUUAACCAGGCCAGGAGUAAAAAAUGUGCAGAUGGAGUAUGCAGAAAUCUGAAGGCGUGUUACAGGGAGGAAAAGUUGUGGGGACCAUGCCCUCAGGAUCCGUCCCAGAUCUACUGCUGCUUUUUGUAAGCUGGCUCCCUUCCUCUUCACCAGCAGCAAGCCUAUCAUAUUGCAGGGAGCGGGGGAAUCCUAACCUCUCAUAUUUCAGAAUAUCUUCACCCUGUAUACCUGUUCCCUUAGGUAGGCAUCGUUUAUCCACCCAGAAGAAGAUUCGGACGUUUCUGAAUCCUGAAGCAAUUUUCCUGUGAGACAGGAUCUUUCUUCAUCACCACUCCCAGAAGCCUUGUCAGCUAGUCAACCUUCCCAAAAGGGAACAACACCUUCUUGUCUAACAGAAGUCUUGCAUUUUCCUCUUCUAAUAAAAGCAAUGUAGUUGGGCAUAUGAA